Molecule: ribosomal RNA, 253 nt
Filed under: uncultured bacterium
Lineage: Bacteria
Description: partial 16S ribosomal RNA
Rfam family: Bacterial small subunit ribosomal RNA
Source: RNAcentral
UACGAGUGGUGCAAGCGUUAUUCGGAUUAAUUGGGCGUAAAGGGUGCGCAGGCGGUAUGUUAAGUCAACUGUUAAAUACCUCAGCCUAACUGAGGAACAGCAGUAGAUACUGGCACACUAGAGAGUGGAAGAGAGAAGUGGAAUUCUUGGAGUAGCGGUAAAAUGCGUAGAUCUCAAGAGGAACACCAAUGGCGAAGGCAGCUUCUUGGUCCAUUUCUGACGCUCAGGCACGAAAGCGUGGGGAGCAAACAGG